This 578-nucleotide ribosomal RNA is filed under the name Trigonopterus carinirostris. Its description in RNAcentral is "SSU rRNA". Lineage: Eukaryota; Metazoa; Arthropoda; Insecta; Coleoptera; Curculionidae. The record is from RNAcentral.
GUCAUAUGCUUGUCUCAAAGAUUAAGCCAUGCAUGUCUCAGUACAAGCCAAAUUAAGGUGAAACCGCGAAAGGCUCAUUAAAUCAGUUAUGGUUCCUUAGAUCGUACCCACAAUUACUUGGAUAACUGUGGUAAUUCUAGAGCUAAUACAUGCAAACAGAGCUCCGACCGGAGACGGAAGGAGUGCUUUUAUUAGAUCAAAACCAAUCGGUGGCGGGUUCGCUCGUUAUCGUACAACUUGGUGACUCUGAAUAACUUUACGCUGAUCGCACGGUCAUCGCACCGGCGACGCAUCUUUCAAAUGUCUGCCUUAUCAACUGUCGAUGGUAGGUUCUGCGCCUACCAUGGUUGUAACGGGUAACGGGGAAUCAGGGUUCGAUUCCGGAGAGGGAGCCUGAGAAACGGCUACCACAUCCAAGGAAGGCAGCAGGCGCGCAAAUUACCCACUCCCGGCACGGGGAGGUAGUGACRAAAAAUAACGAUACGGGACUCAUCCGAGGCCCCGUAAUCGGAAUGAGUACACUCUAAACCCUUUAACGAGGAUCAAUUGGAGGGCAAGUCUGGUGCCAGCAGCCGCGG